GGAUGAACGCUGGCGGCGUGCUUAACACAUGCAAGUCGAACGAUGAAGCCCAGCUUGCUGGGUGGAUUAGUGGCGAACGGGUGAGUAACACGUGAGUAACCUGCCCUUGACUCUGGGAUAAGCCCGGGAAACUGGGUCUAAUACCGGAUAGGAGCGCCUGUCGCAUGACGGGUGUUGGAAAGAUUUUUCGGUCAUGGAUGGACUCGCGGCCUAUCAGCUUGUUGGUGAGGUAAUGGCUCACCAAGGCGACGACGGGUAGCCGGCCUGAGAGGGUGACCGGCCACACUGGGACUGAGACACGGCCCAGACUCCUACGGGAGGCAGCAGUGGGGAAUAUUGCACAAUGGGCGGAAGCCUGAUGCAGCGACGCCGCGUGAGGGAUGACGGCCUUCGGGUUGUAAACCUCUUUCAGUAGGGAAGAAGCGAAAGUGACGGUACCUGCAGAAGAAGCACCGGCUAACUACGUG
Molecule: ribosomal RNA, 467 nt
Filed under: uncultured bacterium
Lineage: Bacteria
Description: partial 16S ribosomal RNA
Rfam family: Bacterial small subunit ribosomal RNA
Source: RNAcentral